Molecule: unclassified non-coding RNA, 1054 nt
Filed under: Hevea brasiliensis (rubber tree)
Lineage: Eukaryota; Viridiplantae; Streptophyta; Magnoliopsida; Malpighiales; Euphorbiaceae
Source: RNAcentral
AACAAGGGCUUACUUAAAGAUGUUUUGCUUCUGGGCUUUACCAAGUGAAGAAAACCAGAAGUGAUGAUAGUAGCUGGUAUCUAUCUUCUCGUGGAAUAAAGGAAAAAUUACCAGCCAGUGAAUUGGUCAACAAAAGUUUGCCAAGCAUACCUCAGCAUUUCCAAUUUUGUGGCGAAAAAGAAACUCUCAAGCACUUUUUCUUCCGAUUUUCCCAUUUAGUACAACUCUCCUCUCAGAUUCUGGUUUACAUUACUCAAGGGUGCUUCUAUCCUACACAGUUGGGAUGAACUGAUUAAUCCUCUUUCAGCACACCUUGUUGGUGAUAAUUUUAUCCAACUGGUGAUGUUUUUAUGCUGGAGCAUUUGGAAAUGCAACUUGCUUUUGUUCAGAGGUCAAAAGCAGAAUAUUCAGGAUGGGAUCUACUCACCUCUCUCCUACCAAGAGAUUCGAUGCAGCAAAAUCAGAAUUGCAUACCCGGAAUAAUCCCCAGCCUGUUGCUCCUCAAGUGUGGGUGCCCCCACCCAUGAAUGUGCUUAAAGCUAAUUUUGAUGCAGCUGUGGGAAGCAAAAAUGAUAGGAGCUUUUGCUACCAUAUUUUGUGAUCAUAGGGAUACCCUCAUGGAUUGGAGCUGCCGAUCCCAACCCAUCCCCAUCUGUUUGAUCCUUCGAUUAUGGAGAUUUUGGAAAGCCUAGCUUGCCGGAAAGCAAUCUCACUAGCCACAGCUUGAGGGGAUGGAAAAGUUAUCUUGGAAGGAGACUGAAAUUCUUAUCAAAGCUCUCAAGCAGCAGAUUCUGGCGGACAUUCAAAGUGUGGCUCAUGAUAUCCACGAGCUGAGCAAAGGCCUGGACUUGGUUAUUUUCUCUUUUGUAAAACGUUCCUGUAACAGAGCUGUGCACGAGGCAAAAAGCUCUUCACGAUGGUUCCUUCACUUAUAAUCCUGUGUGCCAGCAGCAAUUCAUAAUGGGCUCAUUGCCUUCAUGAUUUCUUUCUAUAGAAAAGGGGGGGAAAAGCAUCAACUAUCAUACCAUCUUUACAAUAAAAAAAAUAUGUUUAA